Pelmatolapia mariae (spotted tilapia) is the source of this 1587-nucleotide long non-coding RNA. RefSeq lists it as uncharacterized. The transcript has 4 exons. The record is from RefSeq and is a predicted model, not a curated record. NCBI's taxonomy places the organism in Eukaryota, Metazoa, Chordata, Actinopteri, Cichliformes, Cichlidae.
GCUGCAGUCUACCGGUAGCGUCUCCUUUCAGGCCAGGAUAGGCGAAUGUCACCGAGCAGUGACUAAGUUUGUGGUAAAAGGCUUGCACCCAUUUGCCACAGCACAUGCCCCCGAUUUUCGGCCAACCCACCUGGUGUUCUGGCCCUUCUUGAUGAAGAGUGCUGGUUCCCUCGGGCCACAGAUCGCUCAUUUGUGGAGAAGCUGUCUGCUGAGCAAGGCAGCCAUCCAAAAUUCUUCAAAUCAAAGCAGCCACGUGGGGAAGCUGACUUCUCCAUUAUUCACUACGCUGGAAAGGUGGACUACAAGGUAAAUGAUUGGUUAGUGAAGAACAUGGAUCCCCUGAACGACAAUGUGGCGUCUCUUCUCCACCAGUCGUCUGAUCAUUUUGUCUCAGAGCUUUGGAAAGAGGGAGAGGUGUGGAGUGCCAGACAGCAGCCAGCAUGGGGAGUGCUGAGACACGGGAGCGGAGAGCACGAAGACACGGACUUGUCAGGGAAGACACGACACGGGAGUCAAGGGAGAGCACGGGGAUUUAUUGUUAUUUUCCAUUCACUGUAAAUAAAUGCACUGCUGCCUGGGUCCCCCUUUCCUCACUUCCCCCACGGUUGGCCAUCGUCAACUGUGACACCUUUACAGAUUUUGUAUUGAAAACUUCAGCAUUUUUUGCAACUGUGCCAGUUAUAAAUAUUUAAGCUAUUCUGGUGCAAAAAUGUAUUAACGUUACUACAUUUCUCUCCUCUCUUACAUGCUGUUUCUUUCUCACUUUCUUCUGUUCUGUCUCCUUCUUGUCUUCUCCUCUUUUGCCUGCUCUUUUCCCUUUUUGGGCUCCUUCUUUCCUUUCCUAUGAUCUUGCUCCCUGUGGUCUCCUGAUGCUUCCCGAUCAGACAUUCAAAAUCUUCCUCGUGUGUACUUCUUUGACUCCUACGCCACACUGCAGACUAAUGGCACAGACAGUAGGUUUUUGUACCUCCUUACAAUCCUCCCUCAAACUUAGGGUGAACAAGGCAGGCAGGAACUGUUUUAAGGUAGUUUACUGCAACAAGUUUACAAGCAAGGAAAAUUGGAGACCAGAUACCAAGGGCGUAGAUUUGGCAUGGGCGGAAGGGACAUGUCCCCACCAAUAUCCAGCGAUUAUUAAAUUGUCCCCACCAAUAAUUUGAUCUCUUCCAGUAAAGAAAAACAAACCCGAUAGAAAGAAAAAAACAAUCUGUCAAAACGUCUCAUUCACCCAGCGGUGCAGAAAGAGUUAAAUUACGUUCUCUACUGGAGUCCGACCUCAUGUGACAAAUAUGGCCAAUGUGAUUGGCUGUGCCUUUCGGGGAGCUCUGUUUAGUUUUAGCAGCGGCAAGCCUGCGCUGCCAGGACCUGCAAGGAGGAGAAGAGGAUGGCAGCACAAAGGAAGAACCUGGAUAUAAGAAAGUAUUUUUCAAAGAAACCUGUAAGUAACUUAAAGUGAAGUUCACUCAUAAAAUGUGUCCGUCAUAAUAACGUUACAGGCUAUGCUAGGCUUUGGCCCACAUCAGUCUAAAAUUGUAUGUAACCAUGAAUAACGUGUUUUGGAAACUAACUGCACAACAGGCAGCACUA